AAGAGAAAGAAAAUUCGAUUCCCUUAGUAGCGGCGAGCGAAACGGGAAGAGCCCAAACCAACAAGCUUGCUUGUUGGGGUUGUAGGACACUCUAUACGGAGUUACAAAGGACGACAUUAGACGAAUCAUCUGGAAAGAUGAAUCAAAGAAGGUAAUAAUCCUGUAGUCGAAAAUGUUGUCUCUCUUGAGUGGAUCCUGAGUACGACGGAGCACGUGAAAUUCCGUCGGAAUCUGGGAGGACCAUCUCCUAAGGCUAAAUACUCUCUAGUGACCGAUAGUGAACCAGUACCGUGAGGGAAAGGUGAAAAGCACCCCGGAAGGGGAGUGAAAUAGAACCUGAAACCGUGUGCUUACAAGUAGUCAGAGCCCGUUAAUGGGUGAUGGCGUGCCUUUUGUAGAAUGAACCGGCGAGUUACGAUUUGAUGCAAGGUUAAGCAGUAAAUGUGGAGCCGUAGCGAAAGCGAGUCUGAAUAGGGCGUUUAGUAUUUGGUCGUAGACCCGAAACCAGGUGAUCUACCCUUGGUCAGGUUGAAGUUCAGGUAACACUGAAUGGAGGACCGAACCGACUUACGUUGAAAAGUGAGCGGAUGAACUGAGGGUAGCGGAGAAAUUCCAAUCGAACCUGGAGAUAGCUGGUUCUCUCCGAAAUAGCUUUAGGGCUAGCCUCAAGUGAUGAUUAUUGGAGGUAGAGCACUGUUUGGACGAGGGGCCCCUCUCGGGUUACCGAAUUCAGACAAACUCCGAAUGCCAAUUAAUUUAACUUGGGAGUCAGAACAUGGGUGAUAAGGUCCGUGUUCGAAAGGGAAACAGCCCAGACCACCAGCUAAGGUCCCAAAAUAUAUGUUAAGUGGAAAAGGAUGUGGCGUUGCCCAGACAACUAGGAUGUUGGCUUAGAAGCAGCCAUCAUUUAAAGAGUGCGUAAUAGCUCACUAGUCGAGUGACACUGCGCCGAAAAUGUACCGGGGCUAAACAUAUUACCGAAGCUGUGGAUUGUCCUUUGGACAAUGGUAGGAGAGCGUUCUAAGGGCGUUGAAGCAUGAUCGUAAGGACAUGUGGAGCGCUUAGAAGUGAGAAUGCCGGUGUGAGUAGCGAAAGACGGGUGAGAAUCCCGUCCACCGAUUGACUAAGGUUUCCAGAGGAAGGCUCGUCCGCUCUGGGUUAGUCGGGUCCUAAGCUGAGGCCGACAGGCGUAGGCGAUGGAUAACAGGUUGAUAUUCCUGUACCACCUAUAAUCGUUUUAAUCGAUGGGGGGACGCAGUAGGAUAGGCGAAGCGUGCGAUUGGAUUGCACGUCUAAGCAGUAAGGCUGAGUAUUAGGCAAAUCCGGUACUCGUUAAGGCUGAGC
Molecule: ribosomal RNA, 1344 nt
Filed under: Staphylococcus aureus
Lineage: Bacteria; Bacillati; Bacillota; Bacilli; Caryophanales; Staphylococcaceae
Description: partial 23S ribosomal RNA
Rfam family: Bacterial large subunit ribosomal RNA
Source: RNAcentral